AGUGAACGCUGGCGGUAGGCCUAACACAUGCAAGUCGAACGGCAGCACAGGAGAGCUUGCUCUCUGGGUGGCGAGUGGCGGACGGGUGAGGAAUACAUCGGAAUCUACUUUUUCGUGGGGGAUAACGUGGGGAAACUUACGCUAAUACCGCAUACGACCUACGGGUGAAAGCAGGGGACCUUCGGGCCUUGCGCGAUUGAAUGAGCCGAUGUCGGAUUAGCUAGUUGGCGGGGUAAAGGCCCACCAAGGCGACGAUCCGUAGCUGGUCUGAGAGGAUGAUCAGCCACACUGGAACUAAGACACGGUCCAGACUCCUACGGGAGGCAGCAGUGGGGAAUAUUGGACAAUGGGCGCAAGCCUGAUCCAGCCAUACCGCGUGAGUGAAGAAGGCCUUCGGGUUGUAAAGCCCUUUUGUUGGGAAAGAAAUCCAGCUGGCUAAUACCCGGUUGGGAUGACGGUACCCAAAGAAUAAGCACCGGCUAACUUCGUGCCAGCCGCCGCCGUAA
RNAcentral lists this ribosomal RNA (506 nucleotides) under uncultured bacterium. RNAcentral describes it as "partial 16S ribosomal RNA". It matches the Rfam family "Bacterial small subunit ribosomal RNA", at positions 29 to 523 of the family's 1533-position model. The record is from RNAcentral.